GAUGAACGCUGGCGGCGUGCCUAAUACAUGCAAGUAGAACGCUGAAGGAAGGAGCUUGCUCUUUCCGGAUGAGUUGCGAACGGGUGAGUAACGCGUAGGUAACCUGCCUGGUAGCGGGGGAUAACUAUUGGAAACGAUAGCUAAUACCGCAUAACAGUAGAUGUUGCAUGAUAUCUACUUAAAAGGUGCAAUUGCACCACUACCAGAUGGACCUGCGUUGUAUUAGCUAGUUGGUGAGGUAACGGCUCACCAAGGCGACGAUACAUAGCCGACCUGAGAGGGUGAUCGGCCCACAUGGGAAUGAGAAACGGCCCAGAAUCCUAAGGGAGGCAGCAGUAGGGAAUCUUCGGAAAUGGACGGAAGGCUGACCGAGCAAAGCCGCGUGAGUGAAGAAGGUUUUCGGAUCGUAAAGCUCUGUUGUAAGAGAAGGAAGAGUGUGAGAGUGGAAAGUUCACACUGUGACGGUAUCUUACCAGAAAGGGACGGCUAACUACGUG
RNAcentral lists this ribosomal RNA (497 nucleotides) under uncultured bacterium. RNAcentral describes it as "partial 16S ribosomal RNA". It matches the Rfam family "Bacterial small subunit ribosomal RNA", at positions 28 to 507 of the family's 1533-position model. The record is from RNAcentral.